CAGUAGCCGCGGUAAUACAGAGGGUGCGAGCGUUAAUCGGAUUUACUGGGCGUAAAGCGUGCGUAGGCGGCUAAUUGAGUCGGAUGUGAAAUCCCCGAGCUUAACUUGGGAAUUGCAUUCGAUACUGGUUAGCUAGAGUGUGGGAGAGGAUGGUAGAAUUCCAGGUGUAGCGGUGAAAUGCGUAGAGAUCUGGAGGAAUACCGAUGGCGAAGGCAGCCAUCUGGCCUAACACUGACGCUGAGGUACGAAAGCAUGGGGAGCAAACAGGAUUAGAUACCCGGGUAGUCCCUGUCUCUUAUCC
This 301-nucleotide ribosomal RNA is filed under the name uncultured bacterium. Its description in RNAcentral is "partial 16S ribosomal RNA". It matches the Rfam family "Bacterial small subunit ribosomal RNA", at positions 509 to 809 of the family's 1533-position model. The record is from RNAcentral.